GUUUGACCUGCUCAAUGAUUAAUUAAAUUGCCGCGGUAUAUUGACCGUGCAAAGGUAGCAUAAUAAUUAGUUUUUUAAUUGGAAGCUGGAAUGAAUGGUUGGACGAGAAAAUGACUGUCUCUGUUUUAUUGUUAGUUGAAUUUAAUUUUUUAGUUAAAAAGCUAAAAUGUUUUUAAAAGACGAGAAGACCCUUUAGAGUUUAAUUAGUGUUGUAUAUAAAUGAGUUGGUAUUUUUUAAGUAUGUUUAAUGUUAAUUUGGUUGGGGUGAUUUUAAGAUUUAAUAAACUCUUUAAGUAAAAUCAAUGAUUUUUGAACAUGUUAUCUAGAUUUUCUAAAUUUAAAAUAAAUUACCUAAGGGAUAACAGCGUAAUUCUUCU
This 377-nucleotide ribosomal RNA is filed under the name Balgus rugosus. RNAcentral's name for it is "partial 16S ribosomal RNA". Lineage: Eukaryota; Metazoa; Arthropoda; Insecta; Coleoptera; Elateridae. The record is from RNAcentral.